UACGGAGGAUCCGAGCGUUAUCCGGAUUUAUUGGGUUUAAAGGGUGCGCAGGCGGGAGAUUAAGUCGGCGGUGAAAUUUUGCAGCUCAACUGUAAAAGUGCCUUCGAAACUGGUUUCCUUGAGUGUAGAUGAAGUAGGCGGAAUUUGUGGUGUAGCGGUGAAAUGCUUAGAUAUGACGCAGAACUCCGAUUGCGCAGGCAGCUUACUAAACUACUACUGACGCUCAGGCACGAAGGCGUGGGGAUCAAACAGGAUUAGAUACCCUGGUA
Molecule: ribosomal RNA, 269 nt
Filed under: uncultured prokaryote
Description: partial 16S ribosomal RNA
Rfam family: Bacterial small subunit ribosomal RNA
Source: RNAcentral